AAAGUGGAUUAAGCGAUCGCUCCCCGCCCCCUGCUGAAAAGUACGGGGCAUGGGGGAGGAAAGUCCGGACUCCAUAGGACAGGGUGGCCGCUAACAGCGGCCCCGAGUGAUCGGGGGAACGUGCCACAGAAAACAUACCGCCCUGUGAAAUGACCUUCCUGUGCGUGCCGGCCAGCCAGCGGGCCUGAUUUUUCAGGCCGGCAUCGACGUCCCGCCGGGUCUUAUUUCACGGGGUAAGGGUGAAAAGGCGAGGUAAGAGCUCACCGGUCUAUCAGUAAUGAUAGAUGCCAGGCAAACCCCACCCGGAGCAAGACCAAAUAGGAGGGUUAGACGGUCCGUCCUC
This 343-nucleotide RNase P RNA is filed under the name Deltaproteobacteria bacterium. RNAcentral's name for it is "partial RNase P RNA component class A". It matches the Rfam family "Bacterial RNase P class A", at positions 1 to 262 of the family's 367-position model. Rfam says of the family: Ribonuclease P (RNase P) is a ubiquitous endoribonuclease, found in archaea, bacteria and eukarya as well as chloroplasts and mitochondria. Lineage: Bacteria; Pseudomonadati; Myxococcota; Myxococcia. The record is from RNAcentral.